UGUGGGAGCGAGCCUGCUCGCGAAGGCGCCUGCCCAGUCAACAUAAUUGUUGAAUGACAGACCGCUUUCGCGAGCAGGCUCGCUCCCACA
This 90-nucleotide unclassified non-coding RNA is filed under the name Pseudomonas moraviensis. The record is from RNAcentral. Lineage: Bacteria; Pseudomonadati; Pseudomonadota; Gammaproteobacteria; Pseudomonadales; Pseudomonadaceae.